UAAUACAUAAGUAACCUGCCCUAGACAGGGGGAUAACUAUUGGAAACGAUAGCUAAGACCGCAUAGGUACGGACACUGCAUGGUGACCGUAUUAAAAGUGCCUCAAAGCACUGGUAGAGGAUGGACUUAUGGCGCAUUAGCUGGUUGGCGGGGUAACGGCCCACCAAGGCGAUGAUGCGUAGCCGACCUGAGAGGGUGACCGGCCACACUGGGACUGAGACACGGCCCAG
This 230-nucleotide ribosomal RNA is filed under the name uncultured bacterium. RNAcentral's name for it is "partial 16S ribosomal RNA". It matches the Rfam family "Bacterial small subunit ribosomal RNA", at positions 111 to 334 of the family's 1533-position model. The record is from RNAcentral.